This 316-nucleotide long non-coding RNA is filed under the name Zostera marina. Its description in RNAcentral is "long non-coding RNA (ZMAR_LNC002804)". Lineage: Eukaryota; Viridiplantae; Streptophyta; Magnoliopsida; Alismatales; Zosteraceae. The record is from RNAcentral.
AAAGAAAUCUGUCGUCCUUACGUUUGGAGUGGUGUCAUAUCAUUUCUUCAGAAAUUUUGGAACACAAAUACAAUCUUUUCAAACGUGGAAUCAACGGAAAAUGACGAAGAUAUUUCGCAGGAACACGUUUAUUUUUCUGAACGUUUUCGACAACCCACCUAGACGUUCCAUAAUUUGGGCAAGAUUCUAGGUCUACAUACUCAUUUCGAUAUAAAAUACAAUCGUUGCGACAUGCAUCAAUUUUUUUAUAAUUGAACCCCAAAUCACGAACCACCGACUUCGCAUGGUACAUGGUUUUCGGAAUGGUCGACUUACG